AUUGAACGCUGGCGGCAGGCCUAACACAUGCAAGUCGAACGGUAACAGGAAGAAGCUUGCUUCUUUGCUGACGAGUGGCGGACGGGUGAGUAAUGUCUGGGAAACUGCCUGAUGGAGGGGGAUAACUACUGGAAACGGUAGCUAAUACCGCAUAAUGUCGCAAGACCAAAGAGGGGGACCUUCGGGCCUCUUGCCAUCGGAUGUGCCCAGAUGGGAUUAGCUAGUAGGUGGGGUAACGGCUCACCUAGGCGACGAUCCCUAGCUGGUCUGAGAGGAUGACCAGCCACACUGGAACUGAGACACGGUCCAGGCUCCUACGGGAGGCAGCAGUGGGGAAUAUUGCACAAUGGGCGCAAGCCUGAUGCAGCGAUGCCGCGUGUAUGAAGAAGGCCUUCGGGUUGUAAAGUACUUUCAGCGGGGAGGAAGGGAGUAAAGUUAAUACCUUGGCUCAUUGACGUUACCCGCAGAAGAAGCACCGGCUAACUCCGUG
Molecule: ribosomal RNA, 490 nt
Filed under: uncultured bacterium
Lineage: Bacteria
Description: partial 16S ribosomal RNA
Rfam family: Bacterial small subunit ribosomal RNA
Source: RNAcentral